CUCAUUUCUCGGCUUGGAUCUCGACUUUUCUUCUUGAACUCGAAGAAGAAGGCUAUAGCAUGAACCCUUUAUGCAGAUUUGAAGGGAUCUGAAUAGGACAUCAAGAAAAAAAGAAAGAAUUUUUCUUCUCCUCUUUCUCUCUCUCUAAAACUCUCUCUCUCUCUCUCUUUGAUCUAAUCUGAGAAGGAAGUGGGGUGUGAAGAGGAAGAAGGGAGGAUGGCAUGGAGAUAGAACUUACAGUAAGGGAUCUCACGUAGGAAUACUUCACGCACGCCAAUCUCCCUUCUUUUAUUUUAUCGCCCAAAACCAAUUCCAAUGCCCCAAACCUGAUAAGAUUUAAUCUUAACUGCUUCAAAUUCAAGUUUGAAUUAGUUUAAAUUAAUUCUUAUC
RNAcentral lists this long non-coding RNA (390 nucleotides) under Elaeis guineensis (African oil palm). Its description in RNAcentral is "long non-coding RNA (EGUI_LNC034070)". Lineage: Eukaryota; Viridiplantae; Streptophyta; Magnoliopsida; Arecales; Arecaceae. The record is from RNAcentral.